AAAAAUGUUAAAAAAUCUCAUCAUUUUAUAAGAUUGACCAAAGGAAUACGAGAUCAUUUGCAUAUGUGGCAAUAUUUUUAUAAAGAAUUUAAUGGCUAUACAUAUAUCCAAGAUUUAGAUUGGGUUUCAAAUGCUGAUUUACAUUUGUAUACUGACAGUGCAGGUGGUCAUUCACUGGUUUGUGCAGCUUAUUUAAAUGGGCCAUGGGCAAUUUUACAAUGGCCAUAAUUGGGGCAAAGUUUUAUUAAGUGACAUUACUUAUUUGGAAAUUAUACCUAUUGCUUUGGCCAUCUAUUUAUGGAAAGAAAGGUUUACGAAUAAGAAGAUAAUUUUUCAUUGUGAUAAUAUGGCUGUUGUUACAAUUUUAAAUUCAAAAUCUUCAAAAAAUGACAGGGUUAUGUUUUUGUUAAGAAAAAUAGUUUUGUGGACAUUGUUAUUUAAUUUUCAAUUUAAAGCGUUGCAUAUUUUUUCAAAAUACAAUUUUAUUGCUGAUGCUUUAUCUCGUGGACAGAUGAAGAAGUUCAGAGAAGUAACGAGCAAUGCCGACCGGACGCCACAGACUAUUCCACACGAAUUCCUUAGAUCUUUUGUUAUAGAAGCUUCAAAAUUGUUGAAUUAUUCAAUUUCUCAAAGUACCAGAAAUGUUUAUGAAAAUGCAUUGCAUUCGUUCAAUAUGUUCAGGAUGGAAUAUUCUAUUCCCCUUAGUUGGCCACCAAGUAACAGACAAAUUAUUGGUUAUAUUGGUUUUUUUGUCACUAAAUCAUUAUUCAUCAUUACAAUUAGAUCAUAUAUAUCUGGAAUAAGUUACAAAUUAAAAAUUCAAGGGAAUGAAGAUUUUUAACUAAAUCUUUUAUCAUACAGAAACUUUUGGGUGGUUGUGAUAGACUUUACAACUCUUAAGAUCUUCGGGAACCUUUGACUAUUGAUAUUUUGAUUAGAUUAAAUGUGGCUUUGAGGCACGUGUGCUCUUCUUAUUAUGAAACAAUAUUGUUUCAAACAGCAUUUAACUUAGCUUGCUGCAUUUUUACGUGUGAGUGAAUUUGCCAUUACAACGAAUGUUAUGCAAGAGCAUGUUUUACAUAGGCGGGAUGUUUAUAUUGACCAUCUUAAAUCAGCUGUUUAUUACGAUAAUUUUUUUUUCAAAAACUGAUCAAAAAGGGAGAUCCACUACUUUAGUUGUAAAAAAUAAAUAAAAAUGAAUCAAAUGAGAUUUGUCCUCUACAAAGUUUGAAAGCCUUUUUGCAAAUAAGACCUGGAAAUGAUGGUCCUCAUUUUUGCCAUAUAAAUGGGAAAUCAUUGACAAGAUUUCAGUUUCAGACUGUUUUAAACAAAGGGGGGUUAGAUCUUACCUACACAAAGUUUGGGGCAAGGCUAUUAAACAUACUGAUUUUGAUGAUAUCCAUCCAACUCUUUUCGCUGAUGAUGGCGAAUCUGUCAUAUAUUGGCAAUGACAUUUUUAUUAAUGCUAUUCAGUCAGCAUUAGAGUUGUUUACUAAGUAUCCAAACAGAUUUUUAUAUCCAGAUGAAUUUUAAACUGUUUAAAGUUGCAAGCCAUCGUGCAUGGACACAUGAAGUUGUAUGUCAGUUGAAUAAUUUAUUUCAGUUGUUAAACGCA
This 1615-nucleotide long non-coding RNA is filed under the name Mytilus galloprovincialis (Mediterranean mussel). Lineage: Eukaryota; Metazoa; Mollusca; Bivalvia; Mytilida; Mytilidae. The record is from RNAcentral.